GGGCCUGUAGUCCAACGGUAUAACACUUCGUUUGCACCGAAGAGAUCCGUGUUCAAUUCACGGCAGGUCCA
Molecule: transfer RNA, 71 nt
Filed under: Nanobdellota archaeon
Lineage: Archaea; Nanobdellati; Nanobdellota
Description: tRNA-Ala
Rfam family: tRNA
About the family: Transfer RNA (tRNA) molecules are approximately 80 nucleotides in length. Their secondary structure includes four short double-helical elements and three loops (D, anti-codon, and T loops).
Source: RNAcentral